RNAcentral lists this ribosomal RNA (440 nucleotides) under uncultured bacterium. RNAcentral's name for it is "partial 16S ribosomal RNA". It matches the Rfam family "Bacterial small subunit ribosomal RNA", at positions 338 to 795 of the family's 1533-position model. The record is from RNAcentral.
CCUACGGGUGGCAGCAGUGGGGAAUAUUGCACAAUGGGGGAAACCCUGAUGCAGCGACGCCGCGUGGGUGAAGAAGUAUCUCGGCACGUAAAGCUCUGUCAGCAGGGAAGAAAAUGACGGUACCUGACUAAGAAGCCCCGGCUAACUACGUGCCAGCAGCCGCGGUAAUACGUAGGGGGCAAGCGUUAUCCGGAUUUACUGGGUGUAAAGGGGGCGCAGACGGCGGCGCAAGCCAGGAGUGAAAGCCCGGGGCUCAACCCCGGGACUGCUUUGGGAACUGGGUGGCUGGAGUGCAGGAGGGGUAGGCGGAAUUCCUGGUGUAGCGGUGAAAUGCGUAGAUAUUAGGAGGAACACCGGUGGCGAAGGCGGCCUGCUGGACUGUAACUGACGUUGAGGCUCGAAAGCGUGGGGAGCAAACAGGAUUAGAUACCCUAGUAGUC